RNAcentral lists this ribosomal RNA (874 nucleotides) under uncultured bacterium. RNAcentral describes it as "bacterial SSU rRNA". It matches the Rfam family "Bacterial small subunit ribosomal RNA", at positions 28 to 896 of the family's 1533-position model. The record is from RNAcentral.
GAUGAACGCUAGCGGCAGGCCUAACACAUGCAAGUUGAGGGGUAACAGGAAAAAGCUUGCUUUUUUGCUGACGACCGGCGAACGGGUGCGUAACGCGUAUGCAACCUACCCUUUACUGGGAGAUAACUUCGAGAAAUCGGCGCUAAUAUCCCAUAAUAUUCGAUCUAGGCAUCUAGAAUGAAUUAAAGUUCCGGCGGUAAAGGAUGGGCAUGCGUUCUAUUAGCUAGUUGGUGAGGUAACGGCUCACCAAGGCUUCGAUAGAUAGGGGUCCUGAGAGGGUGAUCCCCCACACUGGUACUGAGACACGGACCAGACUCCUACGGGAGGCAGCAGUGAGGAAUAUUGGUCAAUGGUCGGAAGACUGAACCAGCCAUGCCGCGUGAAGGAAGAAGGAUCUAUGGUUUGUAAACUUCUUUUAUUUGGGAAUAAACCUCUCUACGUGUAGAGAGCUGAAGGUACCAAAUGAAUAAGCACCGGCUAACUCCGUGCCAGCAGCCGCGGUAAUACGGAGGGUGCAAGCGUUAUCCGGAAUCAUUGGGUUUAAAGGGUCCGCAGGCGGGAAUGUAAGCCAGAGGUGAAAUCCUACAGCUCAACUGUAGAACUGCCUUUGAUACUGCGUUUCUUGAAUUCGAUCGAAGUGGGCGGAAUAUGACAUGUAGCGGUGAAAUGCAUAGAUAUGUCAUAGAACACCGAUAGCGAAGGCAGCUCACUAGGUCUGAAUUGACGCUCAUGGACGAAAGCGUGGGGAGCAAACAGGAUUAGAUACCCUGGUAGUCCACGCCGUAAACUAUGAUUACUCGUUAUUGGCGAUAUACAGUCAGUGACUAAGCGAAAGUGAUAAGUAAUCCACCUGGGGAGUACGAUCGCAAGGUUG